GCCCCCGUAGCUCAGCGGAUUAGAGCAACCGACUUCUAAUCGGUAGGUCGAAGGUUCGAAUCCUUCCGGGGGCG
This 74-nucleotide transfer RNA is filed under the name Spirochaetota bacterium. RNAcentral's name for it is "Spirochaetes bacterium tRNA-Arg". It matches the Rfam family "tRNA". Rfam says of the family: Transfer RNA (tRNA) molecules are approximately 80 nucleotides in length. Lineage: Bacteria; Pseudomonadati; Spirochaetota. The record is from RNAcentral.